Molecule: ribosomal RNA, 468 nt
Filed under: uncultured bacterium
Lineage: Bacteria
Description: partial 16S ribosomal RNA
Rfam family: Bacterial small subunit ribosomal RNA
Source: RNAcentral
GAUGAACGCUGGCGGCGUGCUUAACACAUGCCAGUCGAACGGAAAGGCCCUGCUUUUGUGUGGUGCUCGAGUGGCGAACGGGUGAGUAACACGUGAGUAACCUGCCCUUGACUUUGGGAUAACUUCAGGAAACUGGGGCUAAUACCGGAUAGGAGCUCCUGCUGCAUGGUGGGGGUUGGAAAGUUUCGGCGGUUGGGGAUGGACUCGCGGCUUAUCAGCUUGUUGGUGGGGUAGUGGCUUACCAAGGCUUUGACGGGUAGCCGGCCUGAGAGGGUGACCGGCGACAAUGGGACUGAGAUACGGACCAGACUCCUACGGGAGGCAGCAGUGGGGAAUAUUGCACAAUGGGCGGAAGCCUGAUGCAGCAACGCCGCGUGCGGGAUGACGGCCUUCGGGUUGUAAACCGCUUUCGCCUGUGACGAAGCGUGAGUGACGGUAAUGGGUAAAGAAGCACCGGCUAACUACGUG